GACGAACGCUGGCGGCGUGCCUAAUACAUGCAAGUAGAACGCUGAAGGAGGAGCUUGCUUCUCUGGAUGAGUUGCGAACGGGUGAGUAACGCGUAGGUAACCUGCCUGGUAGCGGGGGAUAACUAUUGGAAACGAUAGCUAAUACCGCAUAAUAGCAGUUGUUGCAUGAUAACUGUUUGAAAGGUGCAAUUGCACCACUACCAGAUGGACCUGCGUUGUAUUAGCUAGUUGGUGGGGUAACGGCUCACCAAGGCGACGAUACAUAGCCGACCUGAGAGGGUGAUCGGCCACACUGGGACUGAGACACGGCCCAGACUCCUACGGGAGGCAGCAGUAGGGAAUCUUCGGCAAUGGACGGAAGUCUGACCGAGCAACGCCGCGUGAGUGAAGAAGGUUUUCGGAUCGUAAAGCUCUGUUGUAAGAGAAGAACGAGUGUGAGAGGGAAAGUUCAC
RNAcentral lists this ribosomal RNA (452 nucleotides) under Streptococcus mitis. RNAcentral's name for it is "bacterial SSU rRNA". It matches the Rfam family "Bacterial small subunit ribosomal RNA", at positions 28 to 467 of the family's 1533-position model. Lineage: Bacteria; Bacillati; Bacillota; Bacilli; Lactobacillales; Streptococcaceae. The record is from RNAcentral.